GAUGAACGCUGGCGGCGUGCCUAAUACAUGCCAGUCGAGCGAACGGACGAGGAGCUUGCUCCUUUGACGUUAGCGGCGGACGGGUGAGUAACACGUGGAUAACCUACCUAUAAGACUGGGAUAACUUCGGGAAACCGGAGCUAAUACCGGAUAAUAUAUUGAACCGCAUGGUUCAAUAGUGAAAGACGGUUUUGCUGUCACUUAUAGAUGGAUCCGCGCCGCAUUAGCUAGUUGGUAAGGUAACGGCUUACCAAGGCAACGAUGCGUAGCCGACCUGAGAGGGUGAUCGGCCACACUGGAACUGAGACACGGUCCAGACUCCUACGGGAGGCAGCAGUAGGGAAUCUUCCGCAAUGGGCGAAAGCCUGACGGAGCGACGCCGCGUGAGUGAUGAAGGUCUUCGGAUCGUAAAACUCUGUUAUUAGGGAAGAACAAAUGUGUAAGUAACUAUGCACGUCUUGACGGUACCUAAUCAGAAAGCCACGGCUAACUACGUG
This 497-nucleotide ribosomal RNA is filed under the name uncultured bacterium. RNAcentral's name for it is "partial 16S ribosomal RNA". It matches the Rfam family "Bacterial small subunit ribosomal RNA", at positions 28 to 507 of the family's 1533-position model. The record is from RNAcentral.